GAGGAAUAUUGGUCAAUGGACGCAAGUCUGAACCAGCCAUGUCGCGUGCAGGAAGACGGCCCUAUGGGUUGUAAACUGCUUUUGUACGGGAAGAAAGUUAGCUACGUGUAGCUAUUUGCCGGUACCGUACGAAUAAGGAUCGGCUAACUCCGUGCCAGCAGCCGCGGUAAUACGGAGGAUCCGAGCGUUAUCCGGAUUUAUUGGGUUUAAAGGGUGCGUAGGCGGGUUAUUAAGUCAGUGGUGAAAGUUUGACGCUCAACGUUAAAAUUGCCAUUGAUACUGAUAGUCUUGAGUACAGUUGAGGUAGGCGGAAUGUGGUGUGUAGCGGUGAAAUGCAUAGAUAUACCACAGAACACCGAUUGCGAAGGCAGCUUACUAAACUGUAACUGACGCUGAGGCACGAAAGUGUGGGGAUCAAAC
Molecule: ribosomal RNA, 420 nt
Filed under: uncultured bacterium
Lineage: Bacteria
Description: bacterial SSU rRNA
Rfam family: Bacterial small subunit ribosomal RNA
Source: RNAcentral